CCUACGGGCGGCUGCAGUGGGGAAUAUUGGACAAUGGGGGGAACCCUGAUCCAGCCAUGCCGCGUGUGUGAAGAAGGCCCUCGGGUUGUAAAGCACUUUCAGUGAGGAAGAACGCCUGGUGGUUAAUACCCAUCAGGAAAGACAUCACUCACAGAAGAAGCACCGGCUAACUCCGUGCCAGCAGCCGCGGUAAUACGGAGGGUGCGAGCGUUAAUCGGAAUUACUGGGCGUAAAGCGCGCGUAGGUGGUUUGAUAAGCCGGUUGUGAAAGCCCCGGGCUCAACCUGGGAACGGCAUCCGGAACUGUCAAGCUAGAGUGCAGGAGAGGAAGGUAGAAUUCCCGGUGUAGCGGUGAAAUGCGUAGAGAUCGGGAGGAAUACCAGUGGCGAAGGCGGCCUUCUGGACUGACACUGACACUGAGGUGCGAAAGCGUGGGUAGCAAACAGGAUUAGAUACCCUAGUAGUC
This 465-nucleotide ribosomal RNA is filed under the name Vreelandella stevensii. RNAcentral's name for it is "partial 16S ribosomal RNA". It matches the Rfam family "Bacterial small subunit ribosomal RNA", at positions 338 to 795 of the family's 1533-position model. The record is from RNAcentral. Lineage: Bacteria; Pseudomonadati; Pseudomonadota; Gammaproteobacteria; Oceanospirillales; Halomonadaceae.